GAAUAACUUAACAACACAAAUAAAAUAAUAAACCCAAAACAUUAAACCAAAUCAUUUUUCCGCCUUAGUACGGGAGACGAAAAAGGUCCAAUAAGCAAUAGAAAAAGUACCGCAAGGGAAAGCUGAAAGAGCAAUGAAACAAAUCAUAUAUAGCACAACAAAGCAGAGACUAAGCCUCGUACCUUUUGCAUCAUGAUUUAGCAAGAAUCCAACAAGCAAAGAGCCCUUUAGUUUGUAUCCCCGAAACCAAGUGAGCUACCCCGGGACAGCCUGUAAGGGCCAACCCGUCUCUGUGGCAAAAGAGUGGGAAGAGCCCCGGGUAGAGGUGAUAGACCUACCGAACUUGGUGAUAGCUGGUUGCCUAAGAAAUGAAUAGAAGUUCAGCCUCAUAUCACUUUAAUCCAGUAAGAAAUACCUGACAAUAGAAAACAAGAAAAGUAUGAGAGUUAGUUAAAAGGGGUACAGCCCGUUUAACCCAGGACACAACUUUAUCAGGAGGAUAGGGAUUAUAAUCAUAAAAAUUCGUCGUUACGGUGGGCCUAAAAGCAGCCACCCGAACAGAAAGCGUUAAAGCUCAAACGACAUAAAAUUUAUUAUCUCAAUAAAAAAUCCCACUCCCCUAAAAAUAUUAGGCCGCUCCAUGCCUACAUGGAAGAGACUAUGCUAAAAUGAGUAACAAGAGAACAUACUUCUCUCCAAGCACAAGUGUAAGCCAGCCCGGACCCACCACCGGCAACUAACGAACCCAAAAAAGAGGGUAAUGUGAUAAACAGAAAAAUCAAGAAGAACCCACAACCCCGCAUCGUUAACCCCACACUGGAGUGCCCCCAGGAAAGACUAAAAGAAAGGGAAGGAACUCGGCAAACACCUAAGCCUCGCCUGUUUACCAAAAACAUCGCCUCCUGCAAACCCCUAAGUAUAGGAGGUCCAGCCUGCCCAGUGACCACAAGUUCAACGGCCGCGGUAUUUUGACCGUGCAAAGGUAGCGCAAUCACUUGUCUUUUAAAUGAAGACCUGUAUGAAUGGCUAAACGAGGGCUUAACUGUCUCCCCUUUCAAGUCAGUGAAAUUGAUCUGCCCGUGCAGAAGCGGGCAUAAAACUACAAGACGAGAAGACCCUUUGGAGCUUAAGGUACAAACCCAGCCACGUCAAGCAACUUACUGAAAUAAGAGCUAAACCUAACGGAACAUUGGGAACUUACCUUCGGUUGGGGCGACCACGGAGAAAAAACCAUCCUCCGAGUGGAUUGGGACAACCAAACCUAAAACCAAGAAAGACAUUUCCAAGUCACAGAAAAUCUGACCAAAAAUGAUCCGGCCAAUAAGCCGAUCAACGAACCAAGUUACCCUAGGGAUAACAGCGCAAUCCCCUCCCAGAGCCCAUAUCGACGAGGGGGUUUACGACCUCGAUGUUGGAUCAGGACAUCCUAAUGGUGUAGCCGCUAUUAAGGGUUCGUUUGUUCAACGAUUAAAGUCCUACGUGAUCUGAGUUCAGACCGGAGCAAUCCAGGUCAGUUUCUAUCUGUAACGUCCCUUUUCCUAGUACGAAAGGACCGGAAAAGAGGGGCCCAUGCCAAAAGCACGCCCCACCCGCAAUUAAUGAAAACAACUUAAUUAAACAAGUGGAGGACCUUCACUCAAGGCCAAGAUAAAGCCAC
This 1657-nucleotide ribosomal RNA is filed under the name Paralepidocephalus yui. RNAcentral's name for it is "16S ribosomal RNA". It matches the Rfam family "Bacterial large subunit ribosomal RNA". Lineage: Eukaryota; Metazoa; Chordata; Actinopteri; Cypriniformes; Cobitidae. The record is from RNAcentral.